Molecule: ribosomal RNA, 405 nt
Filed under: uncultured bacterium
Lineage: Bacteria
Description: bacterial SSU rRNA
Rfam family: Bacterial small subunit ribosomal RNA
Source: RNAcentral
AACGAACGCUGGCGGCGCGCCUAAUACAUGCAAGUCGAGCGAGAAGACGUAGCAAUACGUUUGUAAAGCGGCGAACGGGUGAGGAAUACAUGGGUAACCUACCCUCGAGUGGGGAAUAACUAGCCGAAAGGUUAGCUAAUACCGCGUACGCUCCUUGGACUUCGGUUCAGGGAGGAAAGCGAUACCGUGGGUAUCGCGCUCUUGGAUGGGCUCAUGUCCUAUCAGCUUGUUGGUGAGGUAACGGCUCACCAAGGCUUCGACGGGUAGCUGGUCUGAGAGGACGAUCAGCCACACUGGCACUGCGACACGGGCCAGACUCCUACGGGAGGCAGCAGUAAGGAAUAUUGCGUAAUGGGCGAAAGCCUGACGCAGCGACGCCGCGUGGGGGAUGAAGGUCUUCGGAUU